GCCUCCUCCAGCCGCAGCUUCAGCCUCUUGUUCUCCGCCUCCAGGUCCUUCAGCUGCGACUCCCGCAGCCGCACCAACUCCUCCAGGUACCCCUUCUGGGCAUAAACGAUGCGGAACUUCUGCUCCAUCUUGCGCCACUUGUUGUACCAGCUGUCCUCGUCGGUCACCAGCGGCAGGUAGGGGUGCUCGGGGGAGCUGUCCUCGCUGGUGCUGCUCCCCAUGCUG
Molecule: long non-coding RNA, 225 nt
Filed under: Gallus gallus (chicken)
Lineage: Eukaryota; Metazoa; Chordata; Aves; Galliformes; Phasianidae
Source: RNAcentral